This 206-nucleotide ribosomal RNA is filed under the name uncultured bacterium. Its description in RNAcentral is "partial 16S ribosomal RNA". It matches the Rfam family "Bacterial small subunit ribosomal RNA", at positions 568 to 774 of the family's 1533-position model. The record is from RNAcentral.
CUCGUAGGUGGCCAACUAAGUCAGACGUGAAAUCCCUCAGCUUAACUGGGGAACUGCGUCUGAUACUGGAUGGCUUGAGUUUGGGAGAGGGAUGCGGAAUUCCAGGUGUAGCGGUGAAAUGCGUAGAUAUCUGGAGGAACACCGGUGGCGAAGGCGGCAUCCUGGACCAAUACUGACACUGAGGAGCGAAAGCCAGGGAGCAAACG